UCCUACGGGNNCAGCAGUGGGGAAUUUUGGACAAUGGGCGAAAGCCUGAUCCAGCAAUGCCGCGUGUGUGAAGAAGGCCUUCGGGUUGUAAAGCACUUUUGUCCGGAAAGAAAUCCUUGGCUCUAAUACAGUCGGGGGAUGACGGUACCGGAAGAAUAAGCACCGGCUAACUACGUGCCAGCAGCCGCGGUAAUACGUAGGGUGCGAGCGUUAAUCGGAAUUACUGGGCGUAAAGCGUGCGCAGGCGGUUUGCUAAGACUGAUGUGAAAUCCCCGGGCUCAACCUGGGAACUGCAUUGGUGACUGGCAGGCUAGAGUAUGGCAGAGGGGGGUAGAAUUCCACGUGUAGCAGUGAAAUGCGUAGAGAUGUGGAGGAAUCCCGAUGGCGAAGGCAGCCCCNNGGCCAAUACUGACGCUCAGCACGNA
RNAcentral lists this ribosomal RNA (425 nucleotides) under uncultured Burkholderia sp. RNAcentral describes it as "bacterial SSU rRNA". It matches the Rfam family "Bacterial small subunit ribosomal RNA", at positions 337 to 757 of the family's 1533-position model. Lineage: Bacteria; Pseudomonadati; Pseudomonadota; Betaproteobacteria; Burkholderiales; Burkholderiaceae. The record is from RNAcentral.